GGCAGUUCUUGGGUGAUGCACCCCAGAAUCGAGCUCCCUACUCUCUGGUUCCCAGUGUGUCACCCGAGAACCACA
This is a non-coding RNA of Myotis brandtii (Brandt's bat), 75 nucleotides long. The record is from Rfam. NCBI's taxonomy places the organism in Eukaryota, Metazoa, Chordata, Mammalia, Chiroptera, Vespertilionidae.